GGACAUGAGGGACAGGGCCAGCGCCAUCCCCUUGGUUAUGACGCCGGGCACCGCCUCGGCGUACUUGAUGGUGGCCAGCGACGCCGUCGUCAUUGGGAAGGUGUACGACCACCACGCCACCGAGAACCUGCGCCACCGGCGAGGAAGUAAGCGCUAAACACGACCGCCCGAUUGCAGCAGGUUGGCUCGAUAACAUGAGGCUCUCUUUAUGUUCAUCAGGCAGGAAAUGGGUCUUCACCUGAAGCCGCGGAAGAAGUUGAUGCGGACGACGAGGGAGAUGUAGAGGAAGAGGGCGAUGAAGUAGCAGGUGCGGGAGACCUCGUCGAACUGGCCGUAGAUGUUCCCCCAGGCGAUGCUGGCGGCGGAGG
Molecule: long non-coding RNA, 368 nt
Filed under: Spirodela polyrhiza (greater duckweed)
Lineage: Eukaryota; Viridiplantae; Streptophyta; Magnoliopsida; Alismatales; Araceae
Description: long non-coding RNA (SPOL_LNC001021)
Source: RNAcentral